This 103-nucleotide ribosomal RNA is filed under the name Clostridioides difficile. The record is from RNAcentral. Lineage: Bacteria; Bacillati; Bacillota; Clostridia; Peptostreptococcales; Peptostreptococcaceae.
UGUGGUUAUAAUAGCAAAGAGGAUACACCUGUUCCCAUUCCGAACACAGAAGUUAAGCUCUCUAGCGCUGAUGGUACUUGGUGGGAAACUGCCUGGGAGAGUA